Non-coding RNA from Suncus etruscus (white-toothed pygmy shrew), 127 nucleotides. RefSeq annotates it as small Cajal body-specific RNA 1. The transcript has a single exon. Lineage: Eukaryota; Metazoa; Chordata; Mammalia; Eulipotyphla; Soricidae. The record is from RefSeq and is a predicted model, not a curated record.
UAGCACUUGAUACUAGCUAAGCUAUCUGUAUUUUAGCCUUGAUGAAAGACUUGUAGUGUGAUAUGAUCACUGAGUUUAAGAAGAGCAAUAUUGGGGCUGGAGCGGUGAGGCAAGCUGUAGGGCAUUU